RNAcentral lists this ribosomal RNA (392 nucleotides) under Ziziphora clinopodioides. RNAcentral's name for it is "eukaryotic LSU rRNA". The stretch from base 240 to 392 matches the Rfam family "Eukaryotic large subunit ribosomal RNA", at positions 1 to 153 of the family's 3401-position model. The record is from RNAcentral. Lineage: Eukaryota; Viridiplantae; Streptophyta; Magnoliopsida; Lamiales; Lamiaceae.
AGUUGCGCCCCAAGCCUUCUGGCCGAGGGCACGUCUGCCUGGGUGUCACAAAUCGUCGUCCCCCCAUCCUCUCGAGGAUAUGGGACGGAAGCUGAUCUCCCGUGUGUUACCGCACGCGGUUGGCCAAAAUCCGAGCUAAGGACGUCAGGAGCGUCUUGACAUGCGGUGGUGAAUUUAAUUCUCGUCAUAUAGUCAGACGUUCCGGUCCAAAAGCUCUUGAUGACCCAAAGUCCUCAACGCGACCCCAGGUCAGGCGGGAUCACCCGCUGAGUUUAAGCAUAUCAAUAAGCGGAGGAAAAGAAACUAACAARGAUUCCCUUAGUAACGGCGAGCGAACCGGGAAGAGCCCAGCUUGAAAAUCGGACGUCUUCGGCGUUCGAAUUGUAGUCUGA